RNAcentral lists this ribosomal RNA (253 nucleotides) under uncultured bacterium. RNAcentral describes it as "partial 16S ribosomal RNA". It matches the Rfam family "Bacterial small subunit ribosomal RNA", at positions 524 to 776 of the family's 1533-position model. The record is from RNAcentral.
GACAGAGGGUGCAAACGUUGUUCGGAAUUACUGGGCGUAAAGCGCGUGUAGGCGGCCUGUUAAGUCGAACGUGAAAUCCCCGGGCUCAACCCGGGAACUGCGUCCGAUACUGGCAGGCUUGAAUUCGGGAGAGGGAUGCGGAAUUCCAGGUGUAGCGGUGAAAUGCGUAGAUAUCUGGAGGAACACCGGUGGCGAAGGCGGCAUCCUGGACCGAGAUUGACGCUGAGGCGCGAAAGCCAGGGGAGCAAACGGG